UGAACGCUGGCGGCGUGCCUAAUACAUGCAAGUCGAACGCACAGCGAAAGGUGCUUGCACCUUUCAAGUGAGUGGCGAACGGGUGAGUAACACGUGGACAACCUGCCUCAAGGCUGGGGAUAACAUUUGGAAACAGAUGCUAAUACCGAAUAAAACUUAGUGUCGCAUGACACAAAGUUAAAAGGCGCUUCGGCGUCACCUAGAGAUGGAUCCGCGGUGCAUUAGUUAGUUGGUGGGUAAAGGCCUACCAAGACAAUGAUGCAUAGCCGAGUUGAGAGACUGAUCGGCCACAUUGGGACUGAGACACGGCCCAAACUCCUACGGGAGGCUGCAGUAGGGAAUCUUCCACAAUGGGCGAAAGCCUGAUGGAGCAACGCCGCGUGUGUGAUGAAGGCUUUCGGGUCGUAAAGCACUGUUGUAUGGGAAGAACAGCUAGAAUAGGAAAUGAUUUUAGUUUGACGGUACCAUACCAGAAAGGGACGGCUAAAUACGUG
This 494-nucleotide ribosomal RNA is filed under the name uncultured bacterium. RNAcentral describes it as "bacterial SSU rRNA". It matches the Rfam family "Bacterial small subunit ribosomal RNA", at positions 30 to 507 of the family's 1533-position model. The record is from RNAcentral.